CCCUUAGAUGUUCUGGGCCGCACGCGCGCUACACUGACGGAUUCAACGAGCUUACAACCUUGGCCGAAAGGUCUGGGUAAUCUCCAAAAUCCGUCGUGAUGGGGAUAGAUUAUUGCAAUUAUUAAUCUUCAACGAGGAAUGCCUAGUAAGCGCAAGUCAUCAGCUUGCGUUGAUUACGUCCCUGCCCUUUGUACACACCGCCCGUCGCUCCUACCGAUUGAAUGGUCCGGUGAAGCGUUUGGGCUAUGGUUUUCUGAUGGUCCGCCGUUGGAUUACCGUGGGAAGUUCGUUAAACCUUAUCAUUUAGAGGAAGGAGAAGUCGUAACA
This 327-nucleotide ribosomal RNA is filed under the name uncultured eukaryote. Its description in RNAcentral is "partial 18S ribosomal RNA". It matches the Rfam family "Eukaryotic small subunit ribosomal RNA", at positions 1470 to 1796 of the family's 1831-position model. The record is from RNAcentral.